Molecule: ribosomal RNA, 450 nt
Filed under: uncultured bacterium
Lineage: Bacteria
Description: bacterial SSU rRNA
Rfam family: Bacterial small subunit ribosomal RNA
Source: RNAcentral
GAUGAACGCUAGCGGGAGGCCUAAUACAUGCAAGUCGAGCGGUAGAGUGACUUCGGUUGCUUGAGAGCGGCGAACGGGUGAGUAACGCGUACACAAUCUACCUUUAAGAGGGGAAUAGCCCUGGGAAACUGGGAUUAAUGCCCCAUGGCAUCACGAAGUGGCAUCGCUUUGUGAUUAAAGCUGAGGUGCUUAGAGAUGGGUGUGCGUCUGAUUAGCUAGUUGGUGCGGUAACGGCGCACCAAGGCGACGAUCAGUAGGGGCGUGAGAGCGUGGACCCCCCAACGGGUACUGAGACACGGACCCGAUCCUACGGGAGGCAGCAGUAAGGAAUAUGGUCAAUGGAGGAAACUCUGAACCAGCCAUCCCGCGUGCAGGAAGAAUGCCCUAUGGGUUGUAAACUGCUUUUAUCUGGGAAGAAAAGUCGGCAUUUAUGCUGAUCUGACGGUACCA